GUGUCAGCAGCCGCGGUAAUACGGAGGGUGCAAGCAUUAAUCGGAUUUAUUGGGCGUAAAGGGCGCGUAGGCGGGAACAUAAGUCAGAUGUGAAAGCCCGGGGCUCAACCUCGGAACAGCAUUUGAUACUGUGAUUUCUAGAGGGUAGUCGGAGAAAAUGGAAUUCCACAAGUAGCGGUGAAAUGCGUAGAUAUGUGGAAGAACACCGGUGGCGAAAGCGAUUUUCUAGAUUAUACCUGACGCUGAGGCGCGAAAGCAAGGGGAUCAAACAGGAUUAGAUACCCUGGUAGUCCUUGCCAUAAACGAUGUAUACUUGGUGUAACCGGACUCAACCCUGGUUGUGCCGAAGCUAACGCGAUAAGUAUACCGCCUGGGGAGUACAGUCGCAAGGCUGAA
RNAcentral lists this ribosomal RNA (396 nucleotides) under uncultured bacterium. RNAcentral's name for it is "bacterial SSU rRNA". It matches the Rfam family "Bacterial small subunit ribosomal RNA", at positions 505 to 898 of the family's 1533-position model. The record is from RNAcentral.